GGAAGUAAGAGUCGUAACAAGGUCUCCGUAGGUGAACCUGCGGAGGGAUCAUUACAGAGUUCAGGCCCUCACGGGCAGAUCUCCCACCCCUGUGUAUUCAUACCUCUGUUGCUUUGGCGGGCCGCCAGGCUUCGACCUGGCCACCGGCCCUGGAGCUGGUGCGCGCCCGCCAGAGGACCCCCAAACUCUGGUCAUCUGUGUCGUCCGAGUAUUAUACGAUCGUUAAAACUUUCAACAACGGAUCUCUUGGUUCUG
This 255-nucleotide unclassified non-coding RNA is filed under the name plant metagenome. RNAcentral's name for it is "partial contains small subunit ribosomal RNA, internal transcribed spacer 1, and 5.8S ribosomal RNA". The stretch from base 1 to 54 matches the Rfam family "Eukaryotic small subunit ribosomal RNA", at positions 1778 to 1831 of the family's 1831-position model. The record is from RNAcentral.